Molecule: unclassified non-coding RNA, 335 nt
Filed under: soil metagenome
Description: partial contains 5.8S ribosomal RNA, internal transcribed spacer 2, and large subunit ribosomal RNA
Rfam family: 5.8S ribosomal RNA (bases 1-120)
Source: RNAcentral
GAUGAAGAACGUAGCGAAAUGCGAUAAGUAAUGUGAAUUGCAGAAUUCAGUGAAUCAUCGAAUCUUUGAACGCACAUUGCGCCCGCCAGUAUUCUGGCGGGCAUGCCUGUUCGAGCGUCAUUUCAACCAUCAAGCCCCCGGCUUGUGUUGGGGACCUGCGGCUGCCGCAGGCCCUGAAAACCAGUGGCGGGCUCGCUAGUCACUCCGAGCGUAGUAAUACAUCUCGCUCAGGGCGUGGUGCGGGUUCCGGCCGUUAAAAAGCCUUAUUUACCCAAGGUUGACCUCGGAUCAGGUAGGAAGACCCGCUGAACUUAAGCAUAUCAAUAAGCGGAGGA